AUAGACAUCCAGUAAACAUGUUGCUGUACUGGACUUGGUCAGUUGAAAAAAAAAUGAUUUUGCUGUAGAGAAUGUCAUUUUAUUUUGGUAUUUCCGUUGAAACGUAAAGCUAUGAUAACACAUAUAUUGUUCUAUGUUAAGAAUUUGAGAAAAUAAAGCUAAAAUUUACUUUUACUCAUAGCCAUCUGGUGUAUUAUUACCGUAUUGACCUAAAUAUGUUUUUUUCUAUUAUAAAUAAUGUGAAAAGGUUGGUUCGCUUUAUAACCAUUAACACAUGCUGAUAGCUGUCUGGGGUCAUUACACAAGCGCAACGGCAGUGGGCCCCAACGGUUCGUAUAGCCGGUGUGUGUGUGUGUGUGUGUGUGUGUGUGUAAAAUAGAACUUAAGGAGAUAAAAUAGGACUCAAAUUAGAAGAUAAAGUUAAAACUGUUAUUUAAAUUCGAUUAACAGUAAUAAAAAAACUAGGUUGAAAAAAUUAUUUCAACCUUUUUAUAUAAUCUUCUAUUUGCCUAAAACAGGUUUAAAAUGAAAAGGUAUUGAUGUCAAAAACCUUAAAAGAAACAGGAACUGUUAAUUUUGUGUUGUAUUUUGUCAAUUGUAUUUUGUCUGUUGCAUUAAUUUCUGUCAAAAAAUAAUAUGCUGGCAGUUAAACUUAACUUAUCUGUCUGUGUUCUUUAGUACACGUCAUGGUCAAUUCUGCUCCUGCAGCCAGACCUAGCACUGGUCCAGGUCUCUAGUUAUUCUACUUACUGUAGCUGCCUCCUAAUUGUACUCCACUCACACCAAGCAAUAGCUUCUAAUGACCCAGGACAGUGACGGGUGGUUCAUUGAUUUGCAUCUAACUUAGAAUGCACCUGGGAGCAUGGGCCUCCAUGUCCUUAACAACAACAGUGCACCAACUGCAGGUUGUUCAAGUGCAAGCCACCAUAAUUGACAAAGACUCCUGGAUAGGUGUUGAAACAUCUUAACAAAGAACUGAGCGAAAGUCCAGUGUCCUGUUUGCUGUUGCGAUGACCCGGAUAACUGAGAAUUUGCACAGACAUGCUCCCUGGAAACCGUUUUGCCUUGAUCUCUUUUACACCACUUCCUCUUCAAUGCUUUCAUGUGUGUUUAAACAUUUGAUGGAACACUUUCCAUGGGCCAUCACAAUAAAAAAAGAAAAUCUGUAUGGAAUCUCUUGAGAGGAUAGGUACAAAAAUAAACUAAUUGAAGGCAAAUUGCAAUUAUUUCAGUGCUGAUUAUUAUUGUUCUGAUUGUGAUGCUUGUCAUGUGAGCCAAUUUGCUUUUUUCCUCCUUUCUUCUGCUUUGAAAGCAAGACUUUUUUCUUGCUAAUUGCCUUGGCAUCAGUCAGGCAAAACCUCGCCAAUAAAGCACCUUGAAAUUGAAAAAGUGAAUUGGAACUGAAUGCAGGGAGGAGAUUUUCUCUCUCUGUUUCUCCCUCUUUCUACAGCUGGUAAAGCAGGAUUAGGCUUGGCAGAGAAAGGCAUAAAGAGGAGCACAUGUGUGUUUGUGCUUGGAUUUGUGUCUUUGUGAGUGUGGGAUGCGUUUGUGCAGCAAAGCUGUCCGGGAGUCAGGGCAGGAAGGUUUUUAAAGGACUCAAUUAGUUAGGCCCAGACACAAAUCCAGAAUCUUCCCCAUUCCAGGUUUUACUGGGGAUAUGGUCGUGGGGGACAGAAAAUCUCUCUACCCGUACACAAAACAGCUCAAAGUCUUUUUACUGUUGAGUUUAUCCACAAGAAUCCAUGCACACAGAGAGCAUGGGGGCGCUGAUCACAGAAAGAAUCCCAUGAUUAGCUGCUGCUGUGGGUUUUCUGUUUUGCUUCGGCUGAAAGGCGAUUUAGUCGUGUCAACAGUUUCCUCCCUUAUUUGAAUUACAUUUGCUGAAAGAACUGUUUAAUGUAUUUAUUGUACACAUGGUGAACAAAAUGAUCAGUAAGAGGAGUUAUUUUAAAAAAUAAUGAAAAAUAUUGCCAUUGACGUAGUUAAGAAUAUAAAUUAGUCAUACUUUUUUUCUUUUAUCUUCGGAAAGCUAGUUUACUAUUUGCUGACGAAAGUAUGUAUUCAUUAACAAAGGUGUUGCAGUGGAUGUAAAGAGAUUAACAGGAAAACAAUCUGAUAGAAGAAGAAAGACAGGUAGUGUAGCUUGCUUAACAGAUUUUGUGUUUAUCAAAGGUAUAAUCGGAGUUGAUCUGUGUAACUUUAACUUUAAGAAGAACAAUUAAGUGCUGCUGCAAUAUUAUAUUCCGUAUAACGCUAACAUGGUCACUAAGCAAAUCAGAAAAUACUGACAAGGCAUAACUCUACCCUGUUAUUACAUAAUUACAGAAAGAUGAGCAGAUUUGCUGAAAUGGGUAAUGUUAUUUAAGACAAAAUCAACAAUUCUUGAAUUUCAAAAUUCACUUGGAAAGGUUAGUCUUAAAAGUGUUAGUAUUUGACUAUGUCAAGAUGUAUAGUAUGAUGGCCCCAUGUACCAUCUUGCUAGAGUGUUCAUAUGCUUUUAGAUCAUAUUUUAAAAUACACUAUCAAUGGUAAAAAGAAAAGUAUGUAUUAUGUGUUAAAGAUGAAAACCACAUACACACAUAUGUAUCUUCAUAUAUCAACUGCUAAUCUGGGAAUUUAUUUGCAAAGUUAUCCGAGAGUUGCCAUAUGGUCAGAUAAUUAUUAGCCAGAUUAAUCAAAAUGUAUGAUUAGUACGAACGUACGAAGCAGGUGAAUCUUGAUGCACACACAUAGAAAAGAACAUAGCAUAAGCUUAGUAUAACAUUGCAUGAAAUUAGUUAAUGUUAUUAUUGAGCUAAAGCUGUGAUAAAUGUUAGGGUACAUGCAUUGUGAAGUACAUGCAUUGUAUGUGAGCGCUGCACUGUUCAUGCAAUACAAUAUUUCAUCAGUCCAUCUAUUGUUUGUGCCAGUUUAUUUUUGCAGGUGCCUAUAUGUUGCAAUCAUUUGGCGAGAGGCAGGGUAAACCUUGGACAGGUCAAUGUUUCAUCACAGCAAAAAAAAAAAAAAAAAACAGAGCUCCACAGGACAAACAACCGUAAACUUGCAACAUGCAAUUUGUAGAAACCAAAUAAUAUAAAAUAUGAGUUAUAGAAAGAAGGUGGAGUAUAUGGAGAGAACCCAUGCAAGCAGAGUGGAACAUGCAAACUCCAAGCACAAAGAUGAUUGACUGGAAUUUCAACUUCUGUCAUACUGCUGGUCCUGGUGCAGGCCUGGUCUGUCUCUCUCUGCAGGGUGUGACGGGCAGGUGUUUCGCAUCCCAGCUAAUUAGGUGCCUUCUUAAGGAGCUGAGACCAGGAGCAGGGCAUCAGUUCUUUCUCGCUACCAGCGUGGUACUUGACCAAAUUGUCUUUUGACCCAAAAGCUUUCCAAGCCAGAUCUAAUUCUGUGUUUUGAAUUUUUCCUCCAAGGAACCCCUCAAGCAAACCGAACAUCCAAGCCUGAACUUCCAUCGACUUUCGGAUUCCUCGAACCACCUGUCAGUCACAGCCCUUCUCCAGGAGUUGCCUGCCUGUCCACCCUCCAACGCACUAGCAUCAGAAAAGAGAGAAUCGCAGUAUGCACCAGGACCCAGGACACCACCCUUCCAAAGCCCUAGACGACCCCAAACCCUGCAAGGUUUUGGCAGGUCAGCAUGACAACACCUAUCCAGGAGUCUGUCAGUUCUGGCGGCUCGCAUCUGACCCUCAACAUCCGCAUGUGUGUUUGCCCUGCUGCCCUGGCUGCUCCUCUGGUUCAUGCUGUCAGGAUCCCUCUACAACCAUUCGAUGCCCAGCCCACAUGUCUCCAUCUGGAAGAGAGAAAAAGGAAAUGAAUAUAAACAAGCACUACUCAUCACCACUUUCCAGUCUCAGCCUCUGUGGGUAAACUUACCAGCUUUCCAUAGAACUCCAACAUCCCCCCAGCACUAACCUGUCUCCACCAUCAUUUCCAUCAAAUAUGAACCAGUUCUUAUAUGAUAAACGUGCCUCUCAUCAUCUGUGCUAUCCUGUAUUUAUUCUGGGAAUCCAAAAGCACCAUUUGUUCAUUCACUUGUAUAAAUAAGUUGUUCAUACUCCUAUUUGGUGUCCAUAAUUGUUGCCAGCAUGAGGGUAUCAAACAAAACCAACAUGAAAUCCAUGCAGUUUCAUUUUAAUACUAUA
Fundulus heteroclitus (mummichog) is the source of this 4139-nucleotide RNA transcript. RefSeq lists it as uncharacterized. The record is from RefSeq and is a predicted model, not a curated record. NCBI's taxonomy places the organism in Eukaryota, Metazoa, Chordata, Actinopteri, Cyprinodontiformes, Fundulidae. The transcript is spliced from 3 exons.